Molecule: long non-coding RNA, 2204 nt
Filed under: Salvia miltiorrhiza (redroot sage)
Lineage: Eukaryota; Viridiplantae; Streptophyta; Magnoliopsida; Lamiales; Lamiaceae
Description: long non-coding RNA (SMIL_LNC006135)
Source: RNAcentral
GAAAAUGGUUCUCCGUUCUUCUUUUAUUUAGUGAUUCUUUCUUGAACCUCUCCAUAGGGUUAGACUCCUGUGAGAAUUUAGGAUUUUGUAAGAACUAGGAACCAUCUUAGACCAUAAAUUACAAUUAAUCCAACGGCCUAGAUUAAAAAUUAGGCAUUAAAUUGAUUUAUUGAAAUUAAUUGUUAAUGCAACGUUUUUAAUGAAUAAGGGUAAUAGUGGAAAUUACUCUUAAUGUAAAUAUGGUAUGAAGCAAAUAGAUUUGGUAAAAUCGAAAGGAAUCCCUGAAUUAUAGUGUUGACUCCUAUUGAGAAAUUAACAAAAAUCGAUUCACCUACAAUAAAUUACCUAUCAACAUCAAUCAUAUUCAUGUCUUUUCUUCCACCUCCAUUUUCUACCUAUCACAGCCAUUAAUAUUCUAGUAUCUUCUUCCACGCCAUUUUUUGUUGUCUUCCUCAACUUUCGGGUUAAACGCCAGCCAAUAGAGAGUACCUUUGUUCACGUUGGACUCGGAAAAUGUUGGUUUCCGACGGAGCUUCCUAAAAAUAACACUGCGAUUGUUUUUUUUUUUUUGGUUGAUAUGAACAUGCCAGCGAAGAUUUCUAUAUCGUCUAAAAAUUGUUAGUUUUUCGGCGAUUCCCGGCGAAUCGACGAUGAUAUAUGCAAAUAUUUGUUUUUGCCUUGGGUUUUAGAUAAUGUAUGUGGUUGUGACUGGUUUCCGAUUUUUUGGUGGUUCUUUGGCAAAAAGGUCCGAACUUAGAACAAUUUUUAUUUUCAAAAGUGGUUUCCGGCGAAGAGUCUACAAUCUAUGAACAUAUUUUAUUCCAAAGUUCUAGUUUCGAUGAAUAAUUUAAUUAUUUUGAAUCUAGAUGAGGAUGGGGUCGGGUUUCACUGUGAAAAGAGCUUAAGGACAUUGUCGUAAGCAUAUUUUUUUUCUUUUUUUUUUACUUGACUGGUUAAUUAAUAUGCUGGUUUUUUCUUUGUUCAUCACAUUGGUUUUAUUGUUCAUGUGAUAGCUAGACCACCCAAUAAGGAAGUAAUAAUGCAAAAUAAGUUGAUAGAAGCAGAGACGAAGGGUAUAGAUUAAAUACUUGAACAAAUGAAGUAUGCUAAUUAGUUAUUUUUGGAUCUAACUUGACAUAAUUUGCAGUUACAAAGUGGAGGCAAAGACAAAUGCAUAAGGCGCAAUUAUAUCGUGAUUAUAUGGCUAGGAAAGCCAAGCGUGAGGCAGUAAGAAUGAUGUACUAAUGUUCAUUGAAUUUAAUAUAAUGUUCACGAUACUGUUCCACUUGUUCAUGAGUUUCAAUGUUAUUGUUCAUUAACUCACAUUGUUCAUCAAAUGUAUGCAUUGUUCAUCAAAUGUAUUCAUUAUUCAUCAAAUGUAUACAUUGUUCAUCAAAUGUAUUCAUUGUUCAUCAAAUGUAUUUAUUGUUCAUCGAAAUGCAUCACAUGUAUGCAUUGUUCAUCAAAUGUAUUCAUUGUUCAUCAAAUGUAUACAAUGUUCAUCAAAUGUAUGCAUUUUUCAUCAAAUGUAUUCAUUGUUCAUCGAAAUGUAUUCAUUGUUCAUCAAAUAUAUUCAUUGUUCAUCAAAAUGUAUUCAUUGUAUGUAUUUUAAUUAUGGUGUUGUCUUUUAGCGAUUUGCGUUGGCAGCGUACCUUUGGCGCAAAAACGAGUUUGCUAAGGCAGACACAGUAUCUCGAACACAAUUGCAGCUUGUAAAGAUGAAAUGGACUGACCACAAAAAUACAAUUGAUAUAGGUGUAUACCUUAUGCGUCAUUUAGAGACAUUUAUGGGCGAUGGAUCACCGAGCUGAAAAUGUUGAAUGUCGUCAUCAUCACCGCGUCACAUAAGUCGCAUAAGAGUAAGAUAUUGUGCAAGAAUCUUAGAUUGCGAGUACAACAAUGCGAGGGGAGAUGUUCUGAGGUGUGCAUCGGAGUAUUAUCGGACUUUGUGCGUGAAUACUAUGUUCAACGCAAACUUUGUUUUGCUUGGAUGAGAGUGAAGGAAUAUACUAUGAGUAUUGCUUUGAUUUGAAUUGUCGGGAGAAUAUUGAUUUGUUUUAUUUUACCAUGAAUAAUGAUACUAUAUGAACUCCAGUAUUUCAAUAAAUAAGUACUCGUUUUUUUAUCAUGUGCAAUGUGAUAUUUAGUUAUCUAAUUCGUAAGCUCUAGUUAUCUAAAUAUAUGUUUAUGUUCAUAGGUAAUGA